This 1438-nucleotide ribosomal RNA is filed under the name uncultured organism. RNAcentral's name for it is "SSU rRNA". It matches the Rfam family "Bacterial small subunit ribosomal RNA". The record is from RNAcentral.
UAUCUACAGGCUUAACACAUGCAAGUCGAGGGGCAGCAUUUCAGUUUGCUUGCAAACUGGAGAUGGCGACCGGCGCACGGGUGAGUAACACGUAUCCAACCUGCCGAUAACUCGGGGAUAGCCUUUCGAAAGAAAGAUUAAUACCCGAUGGUAUAAUCAGACCGCAUGGUCUUGUUAUUAAAGAAUUUCGGUUAUCGAUGGGGAUGCGUUCCAUUAGGCAGUUGGUGAGGUAACGGCUCACCAAACCUUCGAUGGAUAGGGGUUCUGAGAGGAAGGUCCCCCACAUUGGAACUGAGACACGGUCCAAACUCCUACGGGAGGCAGCAGUGAGGAAUAUUGGUCAAUGGGCGCAGGCCUGAACCAGCCAAGUAGCGUGAAGGAUGACUGCCCUAUGGGUUGUAAACUUCUUUUAUAUGGGAAUAAAGUUUUCCACGUGUGGAAUUUUGUAUGUACCAUAUGAAUAAGGAUCGGCUAACUCCGUGCCAGCAGCCGCGGUAAUACGGAGGAUCCGAGCGUUAUCCGGAUUUAUUGGGUUUAAAGGGAGCGUAGGUGGACAGUUAAGUCAGUUGUGAAAGUUUGCGGCUCAACCGUAAAAUUGCAGUUGAUACUGGCUGUCUUGAGUACAGUAGAGGUGGGCGGAAUUCGUGGUGUAGCGGUGAAAUGCUUAGAUAUCACGAAGAACUCCGAUUGCGAAGGCAGCUCACUGGACUGCAACUGACACUGAUGCUCGAAAGUGUGGGUAUCAAACAGGAUUAGAUACCCUGGUAGUCCACACAGUAAACGAUGAAUACUCGCUGUUUGCGAUAUACAGUAAGCGGCCAAGCGAAAGCAUUAAGUAUUCCACCUGGGGAGUACGCCGGCAACGGUGAAACUCAAAGGAAUUGACGGGGGCCCGCACAAGCGGAGGAACAUGUGGUUUAAUUCGAUGAUACGCGAGGAACCUUACCCGGGCUUAAAUUGCAUUUGAAUAUAUUGGAAACAGUAUAGCCGUAAGGCAAAUGUGAAGGUGCUGCAUGGUUGUCGUCAGCUCGUGCCGUGAGGUGUCGGCUUAAGUGCCAUAACGAGCGCAACCCUUAUCUUUAGUUACUAACAGGUCAUGCUGAGGACUCUAGAGAGACUGCCGUCGUAAGAUGUGAGGAAGGUGGGGAUGACGUCAAAUCAGCACGGCCCUUACGUCCGGGGCUACACACGUGUUACAAUGGGGGGUACAGAAGGCAGCUACCUGGUGACAGGAUGCUAAUCCCAAAAGCCUCUCUCAGUUCGGAUCGAAGUCUGCAACCCGACUUCGUGAAGCUGGAUUCGCUAGUAAUCGCGCAUCAGCCAUGGCGCGGUGAAUACGUUCCCGGGCCUUGUACACACCGCCCGUCAAGCCAUGAAAGCCGGGGGUACCUGAAGUACGUAACCGCAAGGAGCGUCCUAGGGUAAAACUGGUAAUUGG